UCUUUUGUUGACGAUGAUACUUGUAAUGUCUAGUUUAUUUCACCAGUAACAUGCAAGUGUGGCAUGGUAUUUGCCUUGAGCCAAGACAACAUCAGACAUUGAUUAAGGUGUAGUGACCUGAGCUUGAAACAUGAUAGAAUCCUUGUUGUAGAUGUGUUUAUUCAAGGAUAAGAGUUUUGAUAUAAAGUUGAAAAUAGAUGGCAAACACUUGUUCACAUGGUCAGAUAGGAAAUUCAUUGAUUCAGUUGACACUGCUUUAUUGCAUUACGUUAUGUACACAUCAAAAACUUUGACGCGAUACUUAGUAAUUAGCAUUUAUUUUCUAAAUUACAGAUGUUAAUUUUGUAGACUGUUAAUUGGUUUUACAAAGCUCCAAUUCGUUAAUGCUAUUUCCAGUAGAUUUUCAAUUUUGUUUAUGCUGUCGAAGUAUACCAUUUACAUUCACUCUCGUGUUCUUGUGUAAUGAUUUAAAGUGUGAAUACUUUUAUGUACUUGUAUGUUCAACUAAUCCUACAAUUAAUUAGUAUAUGAGAAAGCAAAAUUUUUGAGCUUUUGCCUCACUUUUACACUACACGUACAAAUACCAAGAAGGAUUUCCCUUAAAUCAUGAGAUUACAAAUAUUAAGUUCUUUAUAUAUUAAUACAGUUCCCAUGGUUCAUGAACUUUACUUGGUUAAUUGUUUAAUUUGAUAGUUUGACUUAGCAAUCUCAUUAAUAGUUUAUAUAUGAAAUGUUCUUAUGACUCAUGCCGCGUAACACUUAACUAAGUUGAUAAACAGGGUCAUUCAACUGCUGCUGCAGCAAAUGUUCGAAAAUUGAACAAUUAACCAACUGUUGAAGAUGAUGUUGCUCCUCUAACUGAAGUUUCAAAAAUUGCUCCAACUCUGGCAUAUACUGGUUAACUGACUGUUGAUGCUGCAGAGAACCUUGAAUUUGUUCAAUAAAUGGCACAGACGAAUUCUGACGAGAAAGCAAGCGCUGCUGCUGAAGCUGUUGUUGCUGUUGUUGCUGUUGUUGUUGCUGCUGCUGAAGUUGCUGAAGCUGCUGCUGCCGAAGCAGUUGUUGUUGCUGCUGCUGCUGCUGAAGCUGUGAUUUUGGUUGAUUUUGGUUGAUUCUGUAAUAUGUUUAUACUGUUUCCUUGCGUUGUGAUUAUUGUCAGUCGCAGCAUUGUCAAUUUGGGGGCUAAGAUUUACUUUCUCGUAAAAUCCCUCCCUUUUGAUCUUUGUUUCAUGGUCUUUUCUUUCUUCUGUCAUGAUCCUGUUUAUGCCUGAACAUUUGAAAGAUGGGAAAUAAGUAGACUAUGGUUGUGCUACUAUUUUGUUUAUAGACGAACUUACUACUCUUCUAGUUUAUCAAGUAAUUAAGUAGAUUGUCCUUACUAAU
Long non-coding RNA from Asparagus officinalis (garden asparagus), 1383 nucleotides. RefSeq lists it as uncharacterized. The transcript is spliced from 2 exons. The record is from RefSeq and is a predicted model, not a curated record. NCBI's taxonomy places the organism in Eukaryota, Viridiplantae, Streptophyta, Magnoliopsida, Asparagales, Asparagaceae.